This 233-nucleotide ribosomal RNA is filed under the name uncultured Comamonadaceae bacterium. RNAcentral's name for it is "partial 16S ribosomal RNA". It matches the Rfam family "Bacterial small subunit ribosomal RNA", at positions 1 to 240 of the family's 1533-position model. The record is from RNAcentral. Lineage: Bacteria; Pseudomonadati; Pseudomonadota; Betaproteobacteria; Burkholderiales; Comamonadaceae.
CUCGGAGUUUGAUCCUGGCUCAGAUUGAACGCUGGCGGAAUGCUUUACACAUGCAAGUCGAACGGUAGAGGGGGCAACCCCUCGAGAGUGGCGAACGGGUGAGUAAUAUAUCGGAACGUGCCCAGUCGUGGGGGAUAACGUAGUGAAAACUUACGCUAAGUACCGCAUACGAUCUAAGGAUAGAAAGCGGGGUAUCGCGAAGACCUCGCGCGAUUGGAGCGGCCGAUAUCAGA